AUGCAGUAACGGCUUUUGAAGAGCAAAGAUGGCAAUAUAACUAAAGAAUAUCGGCUCAACAGUAAUAAUGAAGCGAAGAGAGAAAAAGAACCGAAUAAAUCCCAUGGCUUAUCAUCAAUGUGUUCGCAAUUUCCCUCUUUUAUGUCACUGCAGACGGACUUCAGUUUGCAUAACAAGUACCCAGUAGUUGUUAUACGGACUAGUGAUUGUUGUUGUUGUGAAAGCAAUAGAAAUCUCAAGACCCCCUCCAUCAGUCAGGGUCACGACACGGUCACGGGUUUUGUUGGGCUCCAAGUCACGUGUUCCACUGUCACGCCAGACACGUGGGCUUGUUGCUAGUUUAUAACACCUUUACACGUAUGCUCUUGUCGUAGCACCUUUAUUAUUUCAACGUCACAAAUUACAGAAAUUACAGAAAUUAUAGUAAGGCCCAUUUACACGAGCAAUUUUUAGUUGAAAACUUUUACUUGACAAUUUUUAGUUGCUCGUGUAAAUGGUGCAAAGUGAGCACUAGCAGGUCAGCUUUUUCCCAGCAAUAAAAAAUCGACAAUUCGAUAAAAUUGCUCGUGAAGAUGCGCCUCAAUGAAAAGUUGUCAACUUUUUGAGUCCAGACCUGGGACUCUCGCGAGCCUGGUACCCAGGGUAGGACGUUGUCUGUCUGUACAAAGAUUUGGGCUACCUUUGGCAGUCCGCGAUACAAAGCCAUACAAAACGGCCAUGAUUUUUCGCACGUGCCCUGUUACGUGUUUACGAUAAUGUUGAAAGCUCCUUCUUCGAUUUAUACCGCGAAUACGAUGGCGAAAUCAAAGAUAUAUUUGCAAUGUCCAGUCCAGAAGUACUAUGAUUGCAAAUCAUUGCCCAAGAAAUAAAACAAAAUUGAUUGCUACAUUAUUUUAAACCAAGGCAAACACAUGCACAGAGGAUACACAGAUAUUCCUUAGAAAUCAGUGGGCUCCAGGGAAUACUGCAGUGUACUUACAUGCAGAAGCUAUUGUUAAAGGAGAAGCAGGAGAUCAUAAAUUCUGUAUAGUUCACGAUAUGUUAUCACAUGAGCAGUAAUCAUUUCAGUAGCUAUUUUCAUGGCAACCACUUAGACCCAAAUAGCUUACUGGGUAUAUACAGGCAUGCAGCUCAGGGUGGGCACACUGGUUUUUGCCCCUCCCACUCAACCACAAAAAGCAGUCUUUUUUAAAAAGAUACUUAUUUUCUUUAAUAUUUAUAACUGCACAUCCCCUCCACAGCUAAUCAGAUUGUUAAUUAUGGUUAUCAGACUUCACCUUUCCUUUUCUAGACAUACAAUUAAAUAAUUUCUUUUGUCUAAUAAAAUAAGACUACACGCAA
Long non-coding RNA from Nematostella vectensis (starlet sea anemone), 1341 nucleotides. RefSeq lists it as uncharacterized. The transcript has 2 exons. The record is from RefSeq and is a predicted model, not a curated record. NCBI's taxonomy places the organism in Eukaryota, Metazoa, Cnidaria, Anthozoa, Actiniaria, Edwardsiidae.